GCUUAGCCCUAAACAUAGACAGUCAAAAACACAACACUGUCCGCCAGAGAACUACAAGCGAAAAACUCAAAACUCCAAGGACUUGGCGGUGCUCCAUAUCAACCUAGAGGAGCCUGUCCUAUAAUCGAUACCCCACGUUAAACCCUACCACCUUUAGCCCAUCAGCCUAUAUACCGCCGUCGUCAGCCUACCUUGUGAAAGAAACAACAGUAAGCACAACAGUUAUUAACUAACACGUCAGGUCAAGGUGUAGCAUAUAAGGUGGAAGAGAUGGGCUACAUUUUCUGCCACAGAAAAAACGAACGGUACAAUGAAAUAAGUACCCGAAGGCGGAUUUAGCAGUAAGACAGACAAGAGAUGCUAUCUUAAACUCGCUCUGGAGCGCGC
RNAcentral lists this ribosomal RNA (387 nucleotides) under Chalcides boulengeri. RNAcentral's name for it is "partial 12S ribosomal RNA". It matches the Rfam family "Bacterial small subunit ribosomal RNA", at positions 794 to 1384 of the family's 1533-position model. Lineage: Eukaryota; Metazoa; Chordata; Lepidosauria; Squamata; Scincidae. The record is from RNAcentral.